UGAGUGUUUUGUUUGUCUGGAUGGCUGUA
RNAcentral lists this non-coding RNA (29 nucleotides) under Mus musculus (house mouse). The record is from RNAcentral. Lineage: Eukaryota; Metazoa; Chordata; Mammalia; Rodentia; Muridae.